RNAcentral lists this ribosomal RNA (440 nucleotides) under uncultured bacterium. RNAcentral's name for it is "partial 16S ribosomal RNA". It matches the Rfam family "Bacterial small subunit ribosomal RNA", at positions 338 to 795 of the family's 1533-position model. The record is from RNAcentral.
CCUACGGGUGGCAGCAGUGGGGAAUAUUGCACAAUGGGGGAAACCCUGAUGCAGCGACGCCGCGUGAAGGAAGAAGGAUUUCGGUAUGUAAACUUCUAUCAGCAGGGAAGAAAAUGACGGUACCUGACUAAGAAGCCCCGGCUAACUACGUGCCAGCAGCCGCGGUAAUACGUAGGGGGCAAGCGUUAUCCGGAUUUACUGGGUGUAAAGGGAGCGUAGGCGGUUUAGCAAGUCAGAAGUGAAAGCCGGGGGCUCAACUCCGGGACUGCUUUUGAAACUGGUGAACUUGAUUGCAGGAGAGGUAAGUGGAAUUCCUAUUGUAGCGGUUAAAUGCGUAGAUAUUAGGAGGAACCCCAGUGGCGAAGGCGGCUUACUGGACUGUAACUGACGCUGAGGCUCGAAAGCGUGGGGAGCAAACAGGAUUAGAUACCCUUGUAGUC